Molecule: ribosomal RNA, 253 nt
Filed under: uncultured bacterium
Lineage: Bacteria
Description: partial 16S ribosomal RNA
Rfam family: Bacterial small subunit ribosomal RNA
Source: RNAcentral
UACGUAGGUGGCAAGCGUUGUCCGGAUUUACUGGGCGUAAAGGGCGUGCAGGCGGUCUGUUAAGUGCAGGGUGAAAGCUCCCGGCUCAACUGGGAGAGGUCCUUGCAUACUGGCGGACUUGAGGGGGGUAGAGGAAAGUGGAAUUCCCGGUGUAGUGGUGAUAUGCGUAGAUAUCGGGAGGAACACCUGUGGCGAAGGCGGCUUUCUGGGCCCUACCUGACGCUGAGACGCGAAAGCGUGGGGAGAGAACCGG